This 841-nucleotide long non-coding RNA is filed under the name Ananas comosus (pineapple). Its description in RNAcentral is "long non-coding RNA (ACOM_LNC014946)". Lineage: Eukaryota; Viridiplantae; Streptophyta; Magnoliopsida; Poales; Bromeliaceae. The record is from RNAcentral.
UAAAUAUAUAAAUUUUAGUUUCAUAAUAUUGAUCACUUAGAUUAUACAAUAAAAAAUAAAAAAGCGAUGGAUGAAAUUUAAGUUAAUUACUUAUUUAAUAAAUUUAGUUGCGAAAAUUACAUGAAGUACUAAUUAUAUCUGUAAACCUAAAAGAUAUUCAAAUUUUGAAAUCAAAAUAUCAUUAGUUGACUCAAAUCUAAUAUAUAAAAAGGUUAGAUAGUAAAAAUAACAUUUUAAAAAAUUGGAUAGCUGAUUCAAAAUGGUUCGUAAUUCAGAAAAGCUUUAUACAUUUUCUACUUUAAUUUUAAUAUCAAACUUCAAUUCUAUAUUUAUAGUCUAAUGAGCUAUCAAUUUCACAUUUAAAAUAUUUUAAAAUAUAUAAAAUAUGAUUGAUCAAUUUUAAUUUUAACAAUAAAUAUUUUGAAAUUUAUUAAAUAGUUUAACAUAUUCUUUCCUCAAAUAAAAUUACUAAUUGAAUAAAAUCAAUCGAUGCUCAAUUCUGUCUCUAUUUAAAAUAAAAUUAAAUAUAAAAGAAUAAAUUACACUUUUGAUCCUCAAGCUAUAAAACACAUGACACUUUAGUGCUCGAAUUUUAAUAGGCUAUAUUUUUUUGCUCAAAGUACGUAACAUGUGAAGUUUUAGUUCUCAAGCUUUAAUGAGCUGUAAUUUUAGACUCGAACUAUACUGUAAUAAAUAUACUUUAUUAUUUUUAGAAUUUUUUUAUUUUUUUAUAUUUUUAUUCUUAUAUUUUAUUAUAUUAUAAUAAUAAUAAAUUUUUUAAUUUUAAUUUUAAUUUUAAUUUAUUUCUCCCAAAUCAAUCCCCGUGGUAACAUUAAUAAUU